Long non-coding RNA from Theobroma cacao (cacao), 632 nucleotides. RefSeq lists it as uncharacterized. NCBI's taxonomy places the organism in Eukaryota, Viridiplantae, Streptophyta, Magnoliopsida, Malvales, Malvaceae. The record is from RefSeq and is a predicted model, not a curated record.
GGGCUUUCGAUUAAAUAAAAAAAAUCGCGCGAUUCAGACGGUUUCUUCUACGAGCACCUAAGCAAACAGCGCGACCCUUCUUCACCCACGAGUAUCUUGACUUAUGAUCCCUUUAUAUAGGGAGAUAAACUUGGCCAUCAAAACAGAGGAGAGACGAUCGAGUGAUCCAACUAAGACUUGGAAGAGAUUUAGUGGCAUCUGUUGUUAAUUAGUCUGAGAAAAAGUAAGAAGAAUGGAGGGAGAGGGCACCGCUACCCAGGGAGGAAGCAGGACGGGGAAAACAAAGAUCAGUAUGAGAAAAUUGAAAUCAGAGAUGGCAAUGAUUUGUGAGGAACAGAAGAGGCUCAGAGAAGGACAAAGAGAAGUGCAACAAAAAUUUAAACAAGUUCAAGCCAAAAUCUCCUCGUUGCGACAAGAAGGAGACUCGGCAGGACACCCAGCUUUUUUGUUCAAGUACCAGUGACAUGUUGAAUGUGUAGUAGCAAAUACCAGUCUAUGACUUGUUUCUUUCAAUUAUGAAACAACAGUUAUCCCUGCUUGUGUUUUGAGCUUUCCCAUUAUGUAUGUUUUCUAUCAAAGUUGAAUUUCAAAAAUUGGUUCAAUAAGCACAAUGAGCUUCUCCAGCAGGGACC